Molecule: ribosomal RNA, 113 nt
Filed under: Sinocyclocheilus rhinocerous
Lineage: Eukaryota; Metazoa; Chordata; Actinopteri; Cypriniformes; Cyprinidae
Source: RNAcentral
GAUCUCGGGAAAAAAAAAAAAAAAGUCUGAUCCUGAUCUCGGAAGCUAAGCAGGGUCGGGCCUGGUUAGUACUUGGAUGGGAGACCGCCUGGGAAUACCAGGUGCUGUAAGCU